AAUUUUGCGCAAUGGAGGAAACUCUGACGCAGCGACGCCGCGUGAGCGAUGAAGGUCNNNGGAUCNUAAAGCUCUGUCCUUGGNGACNAAGAUCGAAAGAUUUGACGGUACCCGAGGAGGAAGCCCCGGCUAACUACGUGCCAGCAGCCGCGGUAAUACGUAGGGGGCAAGCGUUGUCCGGAAUUAUUGGGCGUAAAGGGUGCGUAGGCGGCUUUUUAAGUCAGAUGUGAAAGACCACGGCUUAACCGUGGGGUUGCAUUUGAAACUGGAAGGCUUGAGUAUCGGAGAGGGUAGUGGAAUUCCCAGUGUAGCGGUGAAAUGCGUAGAUAUUGGGAGGAACACCAGUGGCGAAGGCAGCCCCCUGGGAUGAUACUGACGCUCAUGCACGAAAGCGUGGGGAGCAAACAG
RNAcentral lists this ribosomal RNA (408 nucleotides) under uncultured bacterium. RNAcentral's name for it is "partial 16S ribosomal RNA". It matches the Rfam family "Bacterial small subunit ribosomal RNA", at positions 360 to 775 of the family's 1533-position model. The record is from RNAcentral.